UACGUCCCGGCUUGUACACACCGCCCGUCACACCACGAAAGUCGGCAAUACCCGAAGCCGGUGGCCUAACCCGUAAGGGAGGGAGCCGUCGAAGGUAGGGUCGAUGAUUGGGGUG
RNAcentral lists this ribosomal RNA (115 nucleotides) under uncultured bacterium. RNAcentral's name for it is "partial 16S ribosomal RNA". It matches the Rfam family "Bacterial small subunit ribosomal RNA", at positions 1367 to 1482 of the family's 1533-position model. The record is from RNAcentral.